Molecule: microRNA, 23 nt
Filed under: Monodelphis domestica (gray short-tailed opossum)
Lineage: Eukaryota; Metazoa; Chordata; Mammalia; Didelphimorphia; Didelphidae
Description: mdo-miR-1548-5p
Source: miRBase by way of RNAcentral
AGGGCUCCAGCGGGCACGCACGC